This 253-nucleotide ribosomal RNA is filed under the name uncultured bacterium. RNAcentral's name for it is "partial 16S ribosomal RNA". It matches the Rfam family "Bacterial small subunit ribosomal RNA", at positions 524 to 776 of the family's 1533-position model. The record is from RNAcentral.
GACGUAGGGGGCAAGCGUUGUCCGGAUUUAUUGGGCGUAAAGAGCGUGUAGGCGGCCAGGUAGGUCUGCUGUGAAAACUCGAGGCUUAACCUCGAGAUGUCGGCGGAAACCAUCUGGCUAGAGUCCGGAAGAGGAGAAUGGAAUUCCUGGUGUAGCGGUGAAAUGCGCAGAUAUCAGGAAGAACACCCGUGGCGAAGGCGGUUCUCUGGGACGGUACUGACGCUGAGACGCGAAAGCGUGGGGAGCGAACAGG